RNAcentral lists this ribosomal RNA (254 nucleotides) under uncultured bacterium. RNAcentral's name for it is "partial 16S ribosomal RNA". It matches the Rfam family "Bacterial small subunit ribosomal RNA", at positions 524 to 776 of the family's 1533-position model. The record is from RNAcentral.
UACGUAGGGGGCAAGCGUUGUCCGGAAUCAUUGGGCGUAAAGGGCGCGUAGGCGGCAGAUCAAGUCAGCUGUGAAAUCUCCGAGCUUAACUCGGAACUGUCAGCUGAUACUGUUUUGCUAGAGUGCGGAAGGGGCAAUCGGAAUUCUUGGUGUAGCGGUGAAAUGCGUAGAUAUCAAGAGGAACACCUGAGGUGAAGACGGGUUGCUGGGCCGACACUGACGCUGAGUGCGCGAAAGCCAGGGGAGCAAACGGG